AACGAACGCUGGCGGCAGGCCUAACACAUGCAAGUCGAGCGAGACCUUCGGGUCUAGCGGCGGACGGGUGAGUAACGCGUGGGAAUAUGCCCUUUGGUACGGAAUAGCCUCGGGAAACUGAGAGUAAUACCGUAUGUGCCCUUCGGGGGAAAGAUUUAUCGCCAAAGGAUUAGCCCGCGUUGGAUUAGGUAGUUGGUGGGGUAAUGGCCUACCAAGCCUACGAUCCAUAGCUGGUUUGAGAGGAUGAUCAGCCACACUGGGACUGAGACACGGCCCAGAC
This 280-nucleotide ribosomal RNA is filed under the name uncultured bacterium. Its description in RNAcentral is "partial 16S ribosomal RNA". It matches the Rfam family "Bacterial small subunit ribosomal RNA", at positions 29 to 336 of the family's 1533-position model. The record is from RNAcentral.